Long non-coding RNA from Oryzias melastigma (Indian medaka), 3431 nucleotides. RefSeq lists it as uncharacterized. Lineage: Eukaryota; Metazoa; Chordata; Actinopteri; Beloniformes; Adrianichthyidae. The transcript is spliced from 2 exons. The record is from RefSeq and is a predicted model, not a curated record.
UUUGAAAGAAAUUGGACUUUCAAGUGUGUCUUACAGUGCGGGAAAUACAGUAAACAUUUUAAACAAAACGUAUUAAAUGCACUCAGAACUCAAGCACAUUCAUCAUACUGCAAUUUUGACUCGUCUAUGUUAUGACUUUAAAUUGCUGCUUUAGUGUUAGGAUUGGUUCUUGCUUGGACUGCUUGCUCAAGAAAAACUAGGUCAUACUGGUGUUUGCAUCUUUGCUCUAUACGUUUUUGUUUUUUUUUAGGGAUUCUUUUAAUUUUUGAUCUGUAGGAUUUAAAUCUACCCAAACUGUGUUUGUUUCCUUGCAUUUGCUGUUUCUCCCCAACUGUCACUCUGUUAGAUAAAAGCCUUAGGAGCGUCCAUAUGCAGCUGCAUCAACGACUCAGGGGCACAAACACCUUUAGAUAAACACACAGCGGAGCACUCAGGUCAGCACAGCUCUUUUAUGUUUUGUUUUUCAAAUCUGAACAAUAUUUCUCAGUGGUUUCAUCAUUUAUUCACCUGUGUCUCUCUUUAGAGAAAGGGGGAAAGAAACAACAAGACAUUUCAAGGUGUUGAGGUCCUUUUAUGAACUAUCUGUGACCAACAACGAUCAAACGGGGCUCGGAAACGAGCAUUUAUUGGACCACUUCCAAUAAAAAGGAAAACCGGGCAGCAGCACUCUGACAGGACUUAAAAAGAGGGCAUGUAUGCAGUGCAGCUGUUUCCUCAUCUCAUCGGAUACGUCUCGGUGCCUGCGGGGCAGAAAGAGUAUCUUUGGACAUUCAUUCCGGCUUUAUGAUGGACGGAUCCUCGACAGAUCAAAACCCCGAUGGGAGAAAGCAACGUACAAAUGGAAACAAGAUGCUGUAAAAUGUUCCUGUGGAGCCAGGGGGUUAUGGGGAAUGAAGCCAAAUCAGAUAUCGGCACAUCAAACUUGCCUUGUGAGCUGAAACAAGUAAAGAAUGGUGAGAAAAAAGAAACGAAAGGCAGAAAUAUCUAACAGAAGACUUGUAAAAAUAACCUAUGUGCUUUAAAAUUGCUUUUGUUUCUUGUCAAAAUAUGCAAGAGAUCCCUGUUUGAACUCAAGGCUAAACUUCUGCUAGUGCUUAAAAAAAAACAAAAAACAAACAUCAUGCUUAUCUGCAUUAGCGAAGUCGCUACAUCCACUUUCAACAACUCGGUUUAAGCACACUAUGUUUUCUAAAUCUAAAUCUAUUUUUUUUUUCAAACAAGGUGAGGAGUUACAGGUUUUGUGAGUACGAGACUGUUUUUUUACAUGUUACUAACAAGGCUGGUUGUUAGCAUACUCACAGUUACGUUCGUUUUAGAUGUAUCUUUAUGUUACGUGUUGCUAACAAGGAUGAGUUAACAUAGCCGCAGAAGCAUUUGUUUAGCGGCAUCGGUCUUUUUUUUUUUUUUUUUUUUUUACGUGUUGCUGGUAGUUAGCAAAGUCAGAGUUGCAUUUUUUAGGAGUAUUUGACUUUUGUUUUUUGGUUUAAAUCCUUGCAUUGGAGUUAUAGGUCUUAUGUGGCAGUGUCUGACUGUGUUUUUUAUUUCACAAACAAGGUUGGGUUUUAACAUAGGUAAAGAAACAAUUGCUUUAACAAUAUUAGUCUGUGUCUUUUUUACUUGUAGCAAUCAAGGUUAGAAGUUAGCAUGGCCACAGGAGCAUUUGUUGUAGCGGUAUCAGUCUUUUUGGUUACGUGUUGCUAGCAAGUUUGGUAGUAAGCGUUGUCAAAGUAGCGUUUGUUUUAGCAGUGUCAAACUUUCUGUUUAACAUGUUGCAGAAAAGGUUGGGAGUUACAGGUCUUGUGAAUACACUAGCGGUGUCUGACUGGGUUAGUAUGUGUUAUUAACAUGGUUGGGAUUUAGCAUGGUCACGGUAACAAUUGUUUUAGCGGUAUCAGUCUGUUUUUUGUUUUUUUAAUUUUUUUUUUUACGUGUUGCCAACAAGGUUCGGAGUUAAAGGCCUUGUGAAUACUCUAGCGUCGCGAACAUGCAGAAGUUUCUGACUGUGUUUGCAGGAGUUAGCUUAGUCACUGUAAUGUUUGUUUUAGCUGCAUCAGGCUGUUUUUCGCAAACAAGUGGUAGCAAAUGCGUAGAGUUACACAAACGUUCUAGAAAUGCAGUUCAUGUUUGACCAACUGAUGGACCAUUUUUUUAAGUUUUGUCUCGCUUAAUGUGACUUAUAGUUCAGUGCGCCUUAUAUUUGACAACAGUUAGUAACUAGACCAUUCACUGACUGCGUGUCUUAGAAGAGGAAAGCUGCAUCCGAGUUUUUCUUUCCUCUGAGAUCGUAACGAGCCGGUAUAAAAGAAUGGAGAACAGAAGUAGAAGUGCAGACACAAGGAAAUGAGAAGAAGACCAGAAAAGGGGUAAGAGUAUCACAGUUUCAUCAUUUGUGAGAGGUGGUAGGCCUGCGGUGGCUGCAGAGGAACAAUCGGCAGCUCCGGUUAUUCAUUAGGGCAACAUUCAUUAGUCUCUCCCUGUAAUCCGCCACCGACAUGGAGGACAGGAUGAAGAGCAAGACAGCGAGCACGCUCCAUGAAUCACACGCGUGGAUGCUAUCAGACUCGCUUUCUCCUCUUGCUGGCCCCAAAACAGGAAACUUUAUCAAGGCAGAUUAGGCUGCUGAAUAAUGAGGCUGCCAGAUCCUCCAACAACGUCUUCACAGAAACGCAACAGAUGGCUAAAAAAAGACACGUGCUAACAAUGCACUAAUGUGGAAUCUCCUAAAUAUCACCGAAACUGACUUCAAGCUGUAAGGCGUGAAACAAAAUUGCAAUAAUUAAUUCUGACAUUUGUUUUUGUAUGGACAUAGUAGUGUUGGGUGAAAGAAUAAAAUGUUGAAAAUUCAUUCAGUAUUUCACUCAUUUAUUUGUUACUUUUGACUUUUUUUUAAGGUCUGUUUGUCAGAUGAAGUAAAUGUCAUUUAAAAAAAAUAAAGAAAAAAAAAACUAAAUUGGUGUUAAAUUAGGAGGUUUUAAUCACAUUUUUUUAUUAAAUGUUGUGUAUUUUUUACUUAUUUGCAAAGUACUUUUGAAAAUUGUCAGAAAAGAAGAGAAGUUUAAGGAGCCAUGUUGAUAAAACUGGUGUUUUUAGCAUGUUGUUGUUACACUUUUUCUGAUGAUGGAGGACGUCUAUAAAUUAAAAUGAUAUUUGUUUGCAAAUCAGGAGCAAACGAGAAAAUGCACUUUAAAAAAACAACUUAAUCAGAGAGCUCUCAGCAAUGGGAAGAGGGGCGGGGUUGCUCUCUACCAGCAGUACCACCCACAACUUAGAGCCAAAUUUCAAAAUUGACUGGGACUUCAAGACUCUUAAAAUUUGAUUUUAACACAAACAACAGCUCUUAUGAACAAAACCACCAACAAAAAUAAAAAAGUAGAAUAAAAAAAAAAGAACUGUUGGUUAUUGAUAUAGAAAAUGAACAUAUUUUCAAUUUA